RNAcentral lists this long non-coding RNA (362 nucleotides) under Lathyrus oleraceus (garden pea). RNAcentral describes it as "Pisum sativum (pea) long non-coding RNA (PSAT_LNC002943)". The record is from RNAcentral. Lineage: Eukaryota; Viridiplantae; Streptophyta; Magnoliopsida; Fabales; Fabaceae.
GCCAGGCUUUUUCUUAUUUUUUUAAUUUCAUUUUAUUUUAUUUUAUUUCCUUUUAUUUCAAAAAUUCAUAACUCUUUCAUUUUAAAUCCAAAAAAUAUGGGACCAAUUGUAUUAUUUCCCUUUUUAAUUCUAGUUUCUGAAAAUGAUUUUUAAUAUUUUUUAUUUGUCCAUUUAAUAUUUUUUGUGAAUUUUCUCUUUUCUAGUUAUUUUUAAUUCAUUUAAAAUAGUUUUCAAUAUUCAAAAAAUGCAAAAAUAUUUUCUUAACAUCUUUGAAUGAUGAUGAAUCUAUGAAAAAUAUUCUCAUCAAUUUCUUAAUUUAUUUGAGAUUUAUUUGAGAUUUUAGUUCAAUUAUGUUAUUUUUU